UUAUCUUAUCAUACAAACCCUUUGGGGUUAUAGAAAUGUUCUACCAACAUUGGUUAAUCUUCGUGCCAAACAUAUUGAAGUAUCGGAUAUUUGUCCUCUAUGUAAUGGUGCGUCGGAGACUACUGAUCAUGUUCUUCUUAACUGCUAUUUUGCACAAGAAUGUUGGAGACAUACUGAUGUAAGUUUCUUUAUUGGGCAUGGAGGUACCAUAAUUCAGUGGAUUUAGAAUAUUUUCUUAGUUUUGGAUUCUGAUGAAUGUUGCAAACUCAUUGCUGUGGCUUGGGGUACCUGAAGAUGCCGAAACAGGAAGGUCUAGAACCAUAUAUUUCUUGAUUCUGCUUCUGUUGUUCGGCCUGAUCUUCGUUCUCUUUCAGAGUGGCAGGAAUUUGGUCAGUGUGUCAUGCACCAUUCUGUUUCUCAACCUCAAUUCCAAUCUGGUUGGCUUCAUCCACCAUCUGGUUUUCUUAAAUGUAACUUUGAUGCGGCCUUGAAUGUUGAAGCUAAUCGAAUGCGAGUGGAUUCUAUUGUUCGUGAUUCUUUUAGUCAGUUCAUUGCUGCAAGAUCAUGUCUUGUUGCUGGUUGCUCUAAUCCUUUGUUGGUAGAGUCUAUUUGUUUUCGUGAAGCACUUAGUUGGAUUAAGGAGAAUGGCUGGUGUAAUGUGCUUUUCGAAUUUGAUUCUUUAUUGCUAGUUCAAUCUUUUUUACAGCAGUGAUUUGGAUCUUUCAUAUAUAGGAUCAGUUAUUGUAGAUUGUAGAAUCCCUUUGAAUGAAUUGUCAAAUUGCAACCUAUGUUUUGUUGAGAAGUCAGCUAACCAGUGUGCUCAUGCUUUGGCCCGAGCAUAUGUUUUUUUGUCUGAUGAGAAUGUUUG
This 868-nucleotide unclassified non-coding RNA is filed under the name Hevea brasiliensis (rubber tree). Lineage: Eukaryota; Viridiplantae; Streptophyta; Magnoliopsida; Malpighiales; Euphorbiaceae. The record is from RNAcentral.